AUCAACACUUGUUUUAGGAAACUUACAGUUUAAACAGAUCAGAUUUUUUAAAUAAAAUUUGGUCUGCAUUUGCAUUGGCAUUUAUAGAUGUUCUUUUGUGUCUUGUGAUAUGAAGAUGUGCAUAUCAGAAAUACUGUAAGGCAUUAUUGGGAUCCAACUACUGUGGAUUUUGUUUAUUUUCGAGGCUACCAAUACGUGCAAUUUUCCUUGAUUAGAUAGACAAGCUUGUAAAAAAUUGUAUUUUAUUGGACAUUUGAAAUCUCGAUAUACCUAUCC
This 276-nucleotide long non-coding RNA is filed under the name Mytilus galloprovincialis (Mediterranean mussel). The record is from RNAcentral. Lineage: Eukaryota; Metazoa; Mollusca; Bivalvia; Mytilida; Mytilidae.